RNAcentral lists this ribosomal RNA (525 nucleotides) under uncultured bacterium. RNAcentral's name for it is "partial 16S ribosomal RNA". It matches the Rfam family "Bacterial small subunit ribosomal RNA", at positions 28 to 523 of the family's 1533-position model. The record is from RNAcentral.
GACGAACGCUGGCGGCGUGCCUAAUACAUGCAAGUCGAACGAAGCUUUUUUAACUGGUGCUUGCACCGACUUAAACAACUGAGUGGCGAACGGGUGAGUAACACGUGGGUAACCUGCCCCAAAGCGGGGGAUAACAUUUGGAAACAGAUGCUAAUACCGCAUAACCACAGAAACCACAUGGUUUCUGUGUCAAAGAUGGUUUCGGCUAUCACUUUGGGAUGGACCCGCGGCGUAUUAGCUAGUUGGUAAGGUAAUGGCUUACAAAGGCAAUGAUACGUAGCCGAACUGAGAGGUUGAUCGGCCACAUUGGGACUGAGACACGGCCCAAACUCCUACGGGAGGCAGCAGUAGGGAAUCUUCCACAAUGGACGAAAGUCUGAUGGAGCAACGCCGCGUGAGUGAAGAAGGUUUUCGGAUCGUAAAGCUCUGUCGGGCGGGACGAAAACGGUUUGGGUUAACAGCCCAAGCAAUUGACGGUACCGCCAAAGGAAGCACCGGCUAACUUCGUGCCAGCAGCCGCCGUAA